CACGCCGUAAACGGUGGGCGCUAGGUGUGGGUUUCCUUCCACGGGAUCCGUGCCGUAGCUAACGCAUUAAGCGCCCCGCCUGGGGAGUACGGCCGCAAGGCUAAAACUCAAAGGAAUUGACGGGGGCCCGCACAAGCGGCGGAGCAUGUGGAUUAAUUCGAUGCAACGCGAAGAACCUUACCUGGGUUUGACAUACACCGGACGCUGGUAGAGAUAUCAGUUCCCUUGUGGUCGGUGUACAGGUGG
RNAcentral lists this ribosomal RNA (246 nucleotides) under uncultured Nocardiaceae bacterium. RNAcentral's name for it is "partial 16S ribosomal RNA". It matches the Rfam family "Bacterial small subunit ribosomal RNA", at positions 796 to 1041 of the family's 1533-position model. The record is from RNAcentral. Lineage: Bacteria; Bacillati; Actinomycetota; Actinomycetes; Mycobacteriales; Nocardiaceae.